UAAAAAGAAACACACAAACUUACAGAAUUUGAGAUUCCUACUACAAAUUUUGAAACUUUAAAUCAGCCAACAUACAGAUCGUCUCUUAUCUCGUGUACAAUUACGCAUUAAUUUUCUAAUUUUAAACUUUUUUCUUUCCUCUUUCUCCCUUCCUUCAGUUUACUUUCUGACAUUUGACAUAUUGAAAUUCUCGACUUGUCAAUAAUAUUGACAAGUCGAGAAUAAAUAUUUUACUAAAUUCCAGUCACAACAAUAUUUGUAGAAAUCAUAAUUGAUUUAGGACAUGAAAAAUAGAGGAGAAAAUGGGAUAUCACCAAGAUAUAUCUUGAACUGCAUAACCAUAGCUGUAUUACAACCAGAUAUUUUCGCUAUCACCUAAGAAACAGAGCUUAAAUGGCGGUUCCAAGCCAACAAUUGAAUUGUAUCACCUGUAAUUGAUGAGUUAUCUUGAAAAGUUUGCUGUAUCUAAAGUUUGGAAUUAGAAUGUCCCUUGGUACGUCGAUGAGAAGAGGAUAAGAUGUUUCAUCGUAACCUUUAACGCCAGGAAAAUUAUGACUUUUUGUAAGGAAAUUCCUGAAUAUUUCUUCCUUUGGAUAUGGAUAUGUGAAAAAAAUUGAAACGGUCUGAAAAAAUUUAAAGAGAGCCAAUAAGUAACUUAUAUACUCCUCAUUGACCUUCCAUAUAAUCUGAAGUCAUCAUAACUAUAAAGUAACCAUUGCACAGCUGGAAAAUUGACAUCAAAGUAAUGGAAGAAGUGAAAAUGAAUGAAAAAUCAGAAAGGGUAACAUCUACAAAAGGGAGGUUGAGUCAGCAAAUGAAAACACUAUAAUUCUUCUAGCAAUGGGGAGACUUGCUCUGGUAGGAGAGGAUUUUCAUCCAUAAAAUUGUUUCCCAGAAACAGGAAAAUACAUCGUACAUACAUACUUUCAUAAUUCUGCUGAACACCUUGGUCACUUUAACUCCAGACAAGUUUAUAAUUUGAAGAUCUAAUUUUAUAGUUUCUCCUUUCAAGAAUAAUCUUUUAUCUAUUACAGCGUUCAACAUAAUCCUACCUCUUGACAAACCACAACAAUUGCUGACAACUCUAUCUAUGCUGUACUCUGCCCAUAUCUGAAAAAAACAUAUUAAACAAGAUAUUUUGCUGGUCAAGCCUUUUGACCAACCAGUUUUAAACAACUUGCAAAAGAAAAGUUUCAGGGUUGGUUUGAGGUCUAAAUCCUCUGGUUAAAAUAAUAAUAUUGAUGAUUUGUAGAAUUAAGUAUUAAAUAAAUAUAAUAAUAAUAAGAAAAAAA
Molecule: long non-coding RNA, 1292 nt
Organism: Harmonia axyridis
Lineage: Eukaryota; Metazoa; Arthropoda; Insecta; Coleoptera; Coccinellidae
Exons: 3
Source: RefSeq, a predicted model, not a curated record